AGAAUCAACGCUGGCGGCGUGCCUAACACAUGCAAGUCGCACGAGAAAGGGACUUCGGUCCUGAGUACAGUGGCGCACGGGUGAGUAACACGUGACUUAUCUACCUUUGAGUGGGGAAUAACCUGGGGAAACCCGGGCUAAUACCGCAUAAUACCUACGGGUCAAAGCAGCAAUGCGCUUAAAGAGGAGGUCGCGGUCGAUUAGUUAGUUGGCGGGGUAAUGGCCCACCAAGACGAUGAUCGAUA
RNAcentral lists this ribosomal RNA (245 nucleotides) under uncultured bacterium. Its description in RNAcentral is "partial small subunit ribosomal RNA". It matches the Rfam family "Bacterial small subunit ribosomal RNA", at positions 26 to 285 of the family's 1533-position model. The record is from RNAcentral.